Molecule: ribosomal RNA, 250 nt
Filed under: uncultured bacterium
Lineage: Bacteria
Description: partial 16S ribosomal RNA
Rfam family: Bacterial small subunit ribosomal RNA
Source: RNAcentral
GACGGAGGGCGCAAGCGUUGUUCGGAAUUACUGGGCGUAAAGCGCGGGCAGGCGGUCUGCUAAGUCGCUUGUGAAAAUCCGGGGCUCAACCCCGGAAAUGCAUGCGAUACUGACAGGCUGGAGACCGGUAGAGGCUAGCGGAAUUCCUGGUGUAGCGGUGGAAUGCGUAGAUAUCAGGAAGAACACCUGUGGCGAAGGCGGCUAGCUGGGCCGGGUCUGACGCUCAUCCGCGAAAGCGUGGGGAGCAAAC